Molecule: ribosomal RNA, 253 nt
Filed under: uncultured bacterium
Lineage: Bacteria
Description: partial 16S ribosomal RNA
Rfam family: Bacterial small subunit ribosomal RNA
Source: RNAcentral
UACAGAGGUCUCAAGCGUUGUUCGGAUUCAUUGGGCGUAAAGGGUGCGUAGGUGGCAUGGUCAGUCGGAUGUGAAAUCCCGGGGCUCAACCCCGGAACUGCAUUCGAUACUGCCGCGCUAGAGUACUGGAGAGGAGAUUGGAAUUUACGGUGUAGCAGUGGAAUGCGUAGAUAUCGUAAGGAAGACCAGUGGCGAAGGCGGAUCUCUGGACAGUUACUGACACUGAGGCACGAAGGCCAGGGGAGCAAACGGG